CACAACCCUUGGGCUGGAGGAGCUGGAGAUCAGGGAGACGAUGAGUAGAUUCAGCCGACCAAACCGGUGAUGAAUCCAGUCCCACUAGCUGGACAGACCUUCUGGUUCGAUAUCCCUCCUGCCAAGUCCAAGCAGGCUGCUUGGGGUAGCUUUUUUAAUUAGAUCUACGCCUUCAGUGCCGUGGAAGACUUCUGGAGGAGGACUAACACAUUGUUGUAGAUGACAAAUUCCAGAGGAUGCUAGAAGCAAUGCAUGGCUUUCUUUCGACCGGAAGAUCAGGUAGCAACUCUCAAGAGGAUAUUUUGUGCUAAUAUAUAUGAGCCAGCACCCACUUCCAACAGUCAACAAGUAUGGCCAGACAGGAAUCUAGGCGUGUGACCCAGACAACAUGUUCAAACUACAUGGGAGUACUGGAGGAAAGCCAUCAAGUGCAUGUUAAUUUAUCACCAUUCCACAGCCUUUCCUGUAUAUAUCUACUGUUGUUUGUAAACUAGUGCCCCCAUGUUUUUUCUUUUAUUUUCAGAUUUAUUGCUCAUUGUCCAUUGAAGUAAGUAGGGGAAGGAUAAAAUGUAAUGAAACUACAAUAAUCCAUUUAUCAAA
Corylus avellana is the source of this 600-nucleotide long non-coding RNA. RefSeq lists it as uncharacterized. The record is from RefSeq and is a predicted model, not a curated record. NCBI's taxonomy places the organism in Eukaryota, Viridiplantae, Streptophyta, Magnoliopsida, Fagales, Betulaceae.